Molecule: transfer RNA, 44 nt
Filed under: Bos taurus (domestic cattle)
Lineage: Eukaryota; Metazoa; Chordata; Mammalia; Artiodactyla; Bovidae
Description: partial tRNA-Phe
Source: RNAcentral
AAGGCACUGAAAAUGCCUAGAUGAGUCUCCCAACUCCAUAAACA